This 648-nucleotide ribosomal RNA is filed under the name uncultured beta proteobacterium. RNAcentral describes it as "bacterial SSU rRNA". It matches the Rfam family "Bacterial small subunit ribosomal RNA", at positions 77 to 722 of the family's 1533-position model. The record is from RNAcentral. Lineage: Bacteria; Pseudomonadati; Pseudomonadota; Betaproteobacteria.
UCUUCGGAUGCUGACGAGUGGCGAACGGGUGAGCAAUACAUCGGAACGUGCCCGAUAGUGGGGGAUAACGAAGCGAAAGCUUUGCUAAUACCGCAUACGAUCUCAGGAUGAAAGCAGGGGACCGCAAGGCCUUGCGCUCACGGAGCGGCCGAUGGCAGAUUAGGUAGUUGGUGGGAUAAAAGCUUACCAAGCCGACGAUCUGUAGCUGGUCUGAGAGGACGACCAGCCACACUGGGACUGAGACACGGCCCAGACCCCUACGGGAGGCAGCAGUGGGGAAUUUUGGACAAUGGGCGCAAGCCUGAUCCAGCCAUGCCGCGUGCAGGAUGAAGGCCUUCGGGUUGUAAACUGCUUUUGUACGGAACGAAAAGACUCUGGUUAAUACCUGGGGUCCAUGACGGUACCGUAAGAAUAAGCACCGGCUAACUACGUGCCAGCAGCCGCGGUAAUACGUAGGGUGCGAGCGUUAAUCGGAAUUACUGGGCGUAAAGCGUGCGCAGGCGGUUAUGUAAGACAGAUGUGAAAUCCCCGGGCUCAACCUGGGAACUGCAUUUGUGACUGCAUAGCUAGAGUACGGCAGAGGGGGAUGGAAUUCCGCGUGUAGCAGUGAAAUGCGUAGAUAUGCGGAGGAACACCGAUGGCGAAGGC